UGCGCUAUCAGAUGAGCCUAGGUCGGAUUAGCUAGUUGGUGGGGUAAUGGCUCACCAAGGCGACGACGGGUAGCCGGCCUGAGAGGGCGAUCGGCCACACUGGAACUGAGACACUGUCCAGACUCCUACGGGAGGCUGCAGUCGAGAAUCUUCCGCAAUGGGGGCAACCCUGACGGAGCGACGCCGCGUGCGGGACGAAGGCCUUCGGGUUGUAAACCGCUGUCGUAGGUUAAGAAAUGUCUUGUCGUGAAAGCGGCUUGACUUGACAAAGGCCUAAAAGGAAGCCACGGCUAACUUCGUGCCAGCAGCCGCGGUAAGACGAAGGUGGCAACCGUUGUUCGGAAUCACUGGGCAUAAAGAGCACGUAGGCGGGUCUUUAAGUCGGGUGUGAAAUCCCUCGGCCCAACCGAGGAACUGCGCCCGAUACUGAAGGCCUUGAGGGCAGGAGGGGAGUGUGGAAUUCCUGGUGGAGCGGUGAAAUGCGUUGAUAUCAGGAGGAACACCGGCGGCGAAGGCGACACUCUGGCCUGCUUCUGACGCUGAGGUGCGAAAGCUAGGGUAGCGAACGGGAUUAGAUACCCCGGUAGUCCUAGCCGUAAACGAUGAGCACUAGGUAGGGGGGAUCCCAAUGCCUCCCUGCUGGAGUUAAUAUUUUAAGUGCUCCGCCUGGGGAGUAUAGUCGCAAGGCUGAAACUCAAAGGAAUUGACGGGGGCUCACACAAGCG
Molecule: ribosomal RNA, 725 nt
Filed under: Symbiodinium sp. clade D
Lineage: Eukaryota; Dinophyceae; Suessiales; Symbiodiniaceae
Description: partial Bacterial small subunit ribosomal RNA
Rfam family: Bacterial small subunit ribosomal RNA
Source: RNAcentral